AACGAACGCUGGCGGCAUGCCUAACACAUGCAAGUCGAACGAGACCUUCGGGUCUAGUGGCGCACGGGUGCGUAACGCGUGGGAACCUGCCCUUAGGUUCGGAAUAACUCCCCGAAAGGGGUGCUAAUACCGGAUAAUGUCUUCGGACCAAAGAUUUAUCGCCUUUGGAUGGGCCCGCGUUGGAUUAGCUUGUUGGUAGGGUAAAAGCCUACCAAGGCGACGAUCCAUAGCUGGUCUGAGAGGAUGAUCAGCCACACUGGGACUGAGACACGGCCCAGACUCCUACGGGAGGCAGCAGUGGGGAAUAUUGGACAAGGGGCGAAAGCCUGAUCCAGCAAUGCCGCGUGAGUGAUGAAGGCCUUAGGGUUGUAAAGCUCUUUUACCCGGGAUGAUAAUGACAGUACCGGGAGAAUAAGCUCCGGCUAACUCCGUG
This 433-nucleotide ribosomal RNA is filed under the name uncultured bacterium. RNAcentral's name for it is "partial 16S ribosomal RNA". It matches the Rfam family "Bacterial small subunit ribosomal RNA", at positions 29 to 507 of the family's 1533-position model. The record is from RNAcentral.